GAAGUGUUAGUAAAGCAUUUACAUAGCCUUGUCAAGACUAAAUCACAGGUGAGACCCCUGUACACUUCA
Molecule: transfer RNA, 69 nt
Filed under: Larvivora akahige akahige
Lineage: Eukaryota; Metazoa; Chordata; Aves; Passeriformes; Muscicapidae
Description: tRNA-Asp
Source: RNAcentral